UUUUGAUGACUUAUUUUACUAUCUAAGGCCGGUCCUUUAGAUAGUGGGUUUUGGACGUGUCAAAUAGAUGGCGUGAAAGAAUGUUGUGUUGAUAUGUGCUUAUGGCGGCUCGUUGUCAACAGUUCAGCUACUUCAAAAAUUACCAAUAAAUUCGUUGAAGAAAAUGUGAAAGGGGAAUGCAGCCUACUGUCAACUACUGUGUUCAUGUGUUGUAAAUCCUGGGAUCCUACUGAAUGUGUCAUCCAAAUGACAGAGGAUUCAUCAUAAUUAUCGACUGAUUCUAUUAGACUUGCACCAACCCCAGCAUGGACCAAUCUCUCAUUCCAUCUUCUAGAGAACCUUGGAUAACUGAUUGGUAGUUUAGUGUGUCGAGUCAUGUCCUUUGAAGAAAAAGGACAAUAACUAUACAGUCAACAAGGUCCUUUGUUUGGUAACCCAUUGGCUGCUACUCUUGAAUAUCCCUUUUUACUUCCUGAAACAGGCCCUCUUGAUUUGAGGGUAACUCCUUCGCUACUUAUCGUGGACUUCAUCCAUUGGUGAAAACUGAUAAGAGAAAGCUGUAAUUCAAGACUGAUAGUUGUUUGAUGUCUAAGCCGGAAGCCUACUAUGGUUAAUCGCUCUCGUAAUAACUGUUCUUCAACUCUUUGCUCUUUUUCUGGUUUCUCUUAACCAUUGGCCAUGUCUUAACCAUUGUCCCUGGCUGCAGUCAAUUAAGGCAGUAUCUCCCCCUGUCUUGAUUGACUGUAUGUGCGAGUUUCAAAAGCAGUUUAUCACCCAAAUGAGACAAAAAGGAGUUUGUU
RNAcentral lists this long non-coding RNA (800 nucleotides) under Daphnia pulex (common water flea). RNAcentral describes it as "uncharacterized LOC124194252". The record is from RNAcentral. Lineage: Eukaryota; Metazoa; Arthropoda; Branchiopoda; Diplostraca; Daphniidae.